Molecule: ribosomal RNA, 253 nt
Filed under: uncultured bacterium
Lineage: Bacteria
Description: partial 16S ribosomal RNA
Rfam family: Bacterial small subunit ribosomal RNA
Source: RNAcentral
UACGUAGGGCGCAAGCGUUAUCCGGAAUUAUUGGGCGUAAAGAGCUCGUAGGCGGUUUGCCGCGUCUGCCGUGAAAGUCCGGGGCUCAACUCCGGAUCUGCGGUGGGUACGGGCAGACUAGAGUGCAGUAGGGGAGACUGGAAUUCCUGGUGUAGCGGUGAAAUGCGCAGAUAUCAGGAGGAACACCGAUGGCGAAGGCAGGUCUCUGGGCUGUAACUGACGCUGAGGAGCGAAAGCAUGGGGAGCGAACAGG